Long non-coding RNA from Salvia miltiorrhiza (redroot sage), 379 nucleotides. RefSeq lists it as uncharacterized. The record is from RefSeq and is a predicted model, not a curated record. NCBI's taxonomy places the organism in Eukaryota, Viridiplantae, Streptophyta, Magnoliopsida, Lamiales, Lamiaceae. The transcript has 2 exons.
UAACUAACUAAGCAAACCUAUACCUAUUCUAAAACAAUGACUCAUCAAAGCUAUUGGAUGAGAUGUUAGUAUAAAUAGAGGAAUUGUGGCAGUGAAUUUCAUGCAUGAAAUAUUGGGAAAAAAUAAAUGUUUCUAAAAGUUUUGAUCAGAGAUAAGCUUACAGUGCAGAUUAAUUGGUAAUCAAAUCACGGUUCAUUAACGGAAAGCAUAUCAAGGUUAAGGUUGAGGUUAGUAAGAUGGUGGAGACGGAAACAGCUGUGGCGGGUUGGCUGCAAUAUGUUGAAAUAGCUAGCUAUUAUAUUUUUAAAAAAUAUGUCAUAUAUUUUGAGUAUGUAAAAUGCUAGUUAAAGAUUAUAUAUAUGAUAUUAUUAUUAUGCAA